UGGGGAAUAUUGCACAAUGGGCGGAGGCCUGAUGCAGCAACGCCGCGUGCGGGAUGACGGCCUUCGGGUUGUAAACCGCUUUCGCCUGUGACGAAGCGUGAGUGACGGUAAUGGGUAAAGAAGCACCGGCUAACUACGUGCCAGCAGCCGCGGUGAUACGUAGGGUGCGAGCGUUGUCCGGAUUUAUUGGGCGUAAAGGGCUCGUAGGUGGUUGAUCGCGUCGGAAGUGUAAUCUUGGGGCUUAACCCUGAGCGUGCUUUCGAUACGGGUUGACUUGAGGAAGGUAGGGGAGAAUGGAAUUCCUGGUGGAGCGGUGGAAUGCGCAGAUAUCAGGAGGAACACCAGUGGCGAAGGCGGUUCUCUGGGCCUUUCCUGACGCUGAGGAGCGAAAGCGUGGGGAGCGAACAGGCUUAGAUACCCUGGUAGUCCACGCUGUAAACGGUGGGUACUAGGUGUGGGGUCCAUUCCACGGGUUCCGUGCCGUAGCUAACGCUUUAAGUACCCCGCCUGGGGAGUACGGCCGCAAGGCUA
Molecule: ribosomal RNA, 531 nt
Filed under: uncultured bacterium
Lineage: Bacteria
Description: bacterial SSU rRNA
Rfam family: Bacterial small subunit ribosomal RNA
Source: RNAcentral